This is a non-coding RNA of Ceratotherium simum simum (southern white rhinoceros), 89 nucleotides long. The record is from RefSeq and is a predicted model, not a curated record. NCBI's taxonomy places the organism in Eukaryota, Metazoa, Chordata, Mammalia, Perissodactyla, Rhinocerotidae.
UCAGCUAACAACAUAGGUUAAUAACACCUCCAUCUCAAGGUCCUUUGGAUGAUGAAUGAGACACUAUAAUAUGAAAGGAUAUUUAUAAG